GUUAGACAGACAGACCUAAAACUAUUGGCACCCCCAAAAGGUAGGUAGAUAGACAGAAUGCGACUCACCUGUCCAAGCCGGUCUCCGCCGCUGAAGUUCCUUUUCUCGUCCCCCUCCUCCUCCUCCUCCUCCUCCACCCCUGAUGGUGAUUUAUAAUAAUAAUUUUCCAAACAGAACCGGACCGCAUCAAUCAGGAAGAUUAAAUCUUUUUUUAUUAUUUAUUUUUUAUCACGCAACUGCACAAAUCCGCCUGAGUUCUCCACCGCAGAAAUGCGCACCGGAUCUCCCCCUCGCGACUUCUAAACUCGUAACGGAGACACGGCGAGAUGGGGAGAUGGAGAGAUGGAGAGAUGAAUUCCUUCUGCAUUAACAAACAGGAUACACAGUCAAAUAAAAAAAAAUUAACAACUGCGCGCUCCUUAAUCCAGAAUCCUUAAUCGAUCCUAAUCAGUGUGAGAAAAAAAUUAAGCUAUCCAGUGAUGCACGCACACCACACACACCGCUGUCUCGUCUCGUCUCGGGGUGUGUGUGUGUGUGUGUGUGUGUGUGUGUGUGUGUGAGAGAGAGAGAGAGAGAGAGAGAGAGAGAGAGAGAGAUUGAUUUAGGAGAAGCCAAAUCCAGAAAAACGGUCCGUGUGCAGCACGGGUCUACGGACCGGAUGUGCUUGAGCGAUUCUGCGGUAGCCUACAGAAGGAUAAACUCCGUGCACGCGGUGAGCACGCGGGAGAAACUGCGCAGAAACGCAUCCAAACACGCGCGUGCCGUCGCCCUCCGCUCUCCGCCCGUCAUCCCUCGCGCUCCAUCUGUCCGCAAUUCUCAUAUAUCCCCGUGCACGCGGACAUCAGGACGUCUCUACUCUUUUUUUUAUUAGUAGUAGUAGUAGUGGUAUUUAUUUAUUUAUUUAUUUAUUUAUUUAUUUAUUUAUUCUUCUUCUCUUCGAUAAGGGCGAUCAGUGCACGCACGCGCCAAGCUCAGCUCUUGAUCUGCCCGAGCACGGAUACCGGAGCCGAGCGUCCGCGCGCACGCACGCGCAUCUCUUGUCGUGCCCCGAAGUGAUGACGCACGUGCACGUGCGCG
Long non-coding RNA from Ictalurus punctatus (channel catfish), 1077 nucleotides. Lineage: Eukaryota; Metazoa; Chordata; Actinopteri; Siluriformes; Ictaluridae. The record is from Ensembl.